RNAcentral lists this ribosomal RNA (733 nucleotides) under Buddenbrockia allmani. RNAcentral describes it as "SSU rRNA". It matches the Rfam family "Eukaryotic small subunit ribosomal RNA", at positions 158 to 839 of the family's 1831-position model. Lineage: Eukaryota; Metazoa; Cnidaria; Myxozoa; Malacovalvulida; Saccosporidae. The record is from RNAcentral.
CUAGAGCUAAUACUUGCAUUGAUAUCCAGUUUUGGUUAACUGGAUGCAUUUAUUAGAUAUCCGAUCGCACGUAGUCGCAAGACUUCAGGCGAAAGGUGAUUCUAGAUGACUUUGCUGAUCGUAUGGCUUUAUGCUGACGACAGAUCAAUUAAAAUCGCGCCCUAUCAAUUUGUAGUUAGGAUAUUUUCCUAACUAGAUUGCGACGGGUGACGGGGAAUCAGGGUUCGAUUCCGGAGAGGCAGCUUGAGAUAUCGCUACCACAUCUAAGGAAGGCAGCAGGCGCGCAAAUUACCCACUCCCGAACUGGGGAGGUAGUGACGAGAAUUAUCGGUCUUACUCUUUGAGCAAAAGACCGGAAUGGACGAAAUUCAGGUCCAUUCGUGAAAACUAGCGAGGGGCAAGUCUGGUGCCAGCAGCCGCGGUAAUUCCAGCCUCGCAUGUAAAUGUAAAAUUUGUUGCAUUUAAAAAGCUCGUAGUCGGACAGUUUCACGACAUUUUGUUCAAAGCCAGCUGCAACUCGGCUAGCCAGUUACGAAGGGUUUUGAAUUGGUCAAUUAGUCGUUGCAACUGGAUGAAUAGUCGUGAACAAUCACAAGUUUCGCUUAUACACUUAAUUGUGUGUAGGACUGAAAAUUUGUGGACGUACCUUGAACAAAUCGGUUUGUUCAAAACAGGCCAUAUUGAGCGCCUGGACAUUCGAGCAUGGAAUGAUCGAUCGAGACCUGAUCGUUUG